AUUGAACGCUAGCGGGAUGCUUUACACAUGCAAGUCGAACGGCAGCGCGGACUUCGGUCUGGCUGCGAGUGGCGAACGGGUGAGUAAUGUAUCGGGACGUGCCCACUAUCGGGGGAUAAUUACGCCAAAGCGUAGCUAAUACCGCCUACGCCCUACUGGGGAAACCAGGGGAUCGUAAGACCUUGCCCUCUUGUGGCGGCCGAUAUCGGAUUAGCUAGUUGGUGAGGUAACGGCUCACCAAGCCGACGAUCCGUAGCUGGUUUGAGAGGACGACCGGCCACACUGGGAGUGAGACAGGGCCCAGACGCCUAAGGGAGGCAGCAGUGGGGAAUUUUGGACAAUGGGGGCAACCCUGAUCCAGCCAGCCCGCGUGUGAGAUGAAGGCCUUCGGGUUGUAAAGCACUUUUGGCAGGAAAGAAACGUCGCGGGCUAAUACCCCGUGGAACUGACGGUACCUGCAGAAUAAGCACCGGCUAACUACGUG
Molecule: ribosomal RNA, 484 nt
Filed under: uncultured bacterium
Lineage: Bacteria
Description: partial 16S ribosomal RNA
Rfam family: Bacterial small subunit ribosomal RNA
Source: RNAcentral